AAGCUCGUAGUUGAAUUUCGGGAUCAAAUUGUCGGUCGUGCCUCGGUACGUACUGGCGUUAUUGGUUCCUCCCUUCUGAAGAACCGCGAUGUCAUUAAUUUAGUGUCGCGGGGAAUCAGGACUGUUACUUUGAAAAAAUUAGAGUGUUUAAAGCAGGCUCGCGCUUGAAUACAUUAGCAUGGAAUAAUGAAAUAGGACGUUUGAUUCUAUUUUGUUGGUUUCUAGGAUCGACGUAAUGAUUAAUAGGGAUAGUUGGGGGCAUUAGUAUUCAAUUGUCAGAGGUGAAAUUCUUGGAUUUAUUGAAGACUAACUACUGCGAAAGCAUUUGCCAAGGAUGUUUUCAUUAAUCAAGAACGAAAGUUAGGGGAUCGAAGACGAUCAGAUACCGUCGUAGUCUUAACCAUAAACUAUGCCGACUAGGGAUCGGAUGAUGUUAAUUUUUUAAUGACUCAUUCGGCGCCUUACGGGAAACCAAAGUGUUUGGGUUCCGGGGGGAGUAUGGUCGCAAGGCUGAAACUUAAAGGAAUUGACGGAAGGGCACCACCAGGGGUGGAGCCUGCGGCUUAAUUUGACUCAACACGGGGAAACUCACCAGGUCCAGACAUAGUAAGGAUUGACAGAUUGAGAGCUCUUUCUUGAUUCUAUGGGUG
RNAcentral lists this ribosomal RNA (650 nucleotides) under uncultured Glomus. Its description in RNAcentral is "SSU rRNA". It matches the Rfam family "Eukaryotic small subunit ribosomal RNA", at positions 624 to 1276 of the family's 1831-position model. The record is from RNAcentral. Lineage: Eukaryota; Fungi; Glomeromycota; Glomeromycetes; Glomerales; Glomeraceae.